ACGCUGGCGGCAGGCCUAACACAUGCAAGUCGAGCGGUAGAGAGAAGCUUGCUUCUCUUGAGAGCGGCGGACGGGUGAGUAAUGCCUAGGAAUCUGCCUGGUAGUGGGGGAUAACGUUCGGAAACGGACGCUAAUACCGCAUACGUCCUACGAGAGAAAGCAGGGGACCUUCGGGCCUUGCGCUAUCAGAUGAGCCUAGGUCGGAUUAGCUAGUUGGUGGGGUAAUGGCUCACCAAGGCGACGAUCCGUAACUGGUCUGAGAGGAUGAUCAGUCACACUGGAACUGAGACACGGUCCAGACUCCUACGGGAGGCAGCAGUGGGGAAUAUUGGACAAUGGGCGAAAGCCUGAUCCAGCCAUGCCGCGUGUGUGAAGAAGGUCUUCGGAUUGUAAAGCACUUUAAGUUGGGAGGAAGGGUUGUAGAUUAAUACUCUGCAAUUUUGACGUUACCGACAGAAUAAGCACCGGCUAACUCUGUGCCAGCAGCCGCGGUAAUACAGAGGGUGCAAGCGUUAAUCGGAAUUACUGGGCGUAAAGCGCGCGUAGGUGGUUAGUUAAGUUGGAUGUGAAAUCCCCGGGCUCAACCUGGGAACUGCAUUCAAAACUGACUGACUAGAGUAUGGUAGAGGGUGGUGGAAUUUCCUGUGUAGCGGUGAAAUGCGUAGAUAUAGGAAGGAACACCAGUGGCGAAGGCGACCACCUGGACUGAUACUGACACUGAGGUGCGAAAGCGUGGGGAGCAAAC
RNAcentral lists this ribosomal RNA (745 nucleotides) under uncultured bacterium. Its description in RNAcentral is "bacterial SSU rRNA". It matches the Rfam family "Bacterial small subunit ribosomal RNA", at positions 33 to 773 of the family's 1533-position model. The record is from RNAcentral.